This 253-nucleotide ribosomal RNA is filed under the name uncultured bacterium. Its description in RNAcentral is "partial 16S ribosomal RNA". It matches the Rfam family "Bacterial small subunit ribosomal RNA", at positions 524 to 776 of the family's 1533-position model. The record is from RNAcentral.
UACAGAGGUCCCAAGCGUUACUGAGAAUCACUGGGGUUAAAGGGUGCGUAGGUGGUCCGUUAAGUCAGUUGUGAAAUCCCCGGGCUCAACUCGGGAACUGCUUCUGAUACUGGCGGACUUGAGGCCAGUAGGGGUCACUAGAACUGACGGUGGAGCGGUGAAAUGCGUAGAUAUCGUCAGGAAUGCCGGUGGUGAAGACGGGUGACUGGGCUGGUUCUGACGCUGAGACACGAAAGCCAGGGGAGCAAACGGG